GAGCACGACCACACUUGAGUGAAACCACCAUAUCCCGUCCGAUCUGUGAAGUUAAGCCCUCACAGGCUCGGUCAGUGAUGA
RNAcentral lists this ribosomal RNA (81 nucleotides) under Leishmania donovani. Lineage: Eukaryota; Euglenozoa; Kinetoplastea; Trypanosomatida; Trypanosomatidae. The record is from RNAcentral.